This 815-nucleotide ribosomal RNA is filed under the name Bacillus subtilis. Its description in RNAcentral is "bacterial SSU rRNA". It matches the Rfam family "Bacterial small subunit ribosomal RNA", at positions 66 to 862 of the family's 1533-position model. The record is from RNAcentral. Lineage: Bacteria; Bacillati; Bacillota; Bacilli; Caryophanales; Bacillaceae.
GCGGACAGAUGGGAGCUUGCUCCCUGAUGUUAGCGGCGGACGGGUGAGUAACACGUGGGUAACCUGCCUGUAAGACUGGGAUAACUCCGGGAAACCGGGGCUAAUACCGGAUGGUUGUUUGAACCGCAUGGUUCAAACAUAAAAGGUGGCUUCGGCUACCACUUACAGAUGGACCCGCGGCGCAUUAGCUAGUUGGUGAGGUAACGGCUCACCAAGGCAACGAUGCGUAGCCGACCUGAGAGGGUGAUCGGCCACACUGGGACUGAGACACGGCCCAGACUCCUACGGGAGGCAGCAGUAGGGAAUCUUCCGCAAUGGACGAAAGUCUGACGGAGCAACGCCGCGUGAGUGAUGAAGGUUUUCGGAUCGUAAAGCUCUGUUGUUAGGGAAGAACAAGUACCGUUCGAAUAGGGCGGUACCUUGACGGUACCUAACCAGAAAGCCACGGCUAACUACGUGCCAGCAGCCGCGGUAAUACGUAGGUGGCAAGCGUUGUCCGGAAUUAUUGGGCGUAAAGGGCUCGCAGGCGGUUUCUUAAGUCUGAUGUGAAAGCCCCCGGCUCAACCGGGGAGGGUCAUUGGAAACUGGGGAACUUGAGUGCAGAAGAGGAGAGUGGAAUUCCACGUGUAGCGGUGAAAUGCGUAGAGAUGUGGAGGAACACCAGUGGCGAAGGCGACUCUCUGGUCUGUAACUGACGCUGAGGAGCGAAAGCGUGGGGAGCGAACAGGAUUAGAUACCCUGGUAGUCCACGCCGUAAACGAUGAGUGCUAAGUGUUAGGGGGUUUCCGCCCCUUAGUGCUGCAGCUAACGCAUUA